Molecule: unclassified non-coding RNA, 203 nt
Filed under: Hevea brasiliensis (rubber tree)
Lineage: Eukaryota; Viridiplantae; Streptophyta; Magnoliopsida; Malpighiales; Euphorbiaceae
Source: RNAcentral
GGCUCGACAUUUUCAUAAACAGAGAAUCCAGGUGAUACGGCAAUUUACAUCAGUGGGUAGUGCUGUUCUGAGAACACAGAUUCAUUCUUGGGCUCGUCAAAGGUUGACCCAGGAGGUCCUCCAAGGGCUAAAGCUGGCUCAUCAUCCACCCAAUCCAAUUGGCUCAAACAAAACCUAUCACUGAUGGUGCAUCAGAAAAGGCC